AUUGAACGCUGGCGGCAUGCCUUACACAUGCAAGUCGAACGGCAGCGGGCCUUCGGGUGCCGGCGAGUGGCGAACGGGUGAGUAAUGCAUCGGAACGUGCCAUUGAGUGGGGGAUAACGUAGCGAAAGUUACGCUAAUACCGCAUAUUCUGUGAGCAGGAAAGCAGGGGACCGCAAGGCCUUGCGCUCUUUGAGCGGCCGAUGUCAGAUUAGCUAGUUGGUGAGGUAAAGGCUUACCAAGGCGACGAUCUGUAGCGGGUCUGAGAGGAUGAUCCGCCACACUGGAACUGAGACACGGUCCAGACUCCUACGGGAGGCAGCAGUGGGGAAUUUUGGACAAUGGGCGCAAGCCUGAUCCAGCCAUGCCGCGUGAGUGAAG
This 378-nucleotide ribosomal RNA is filed under the name uncultured bacterium. RNAcentral describes it as "bacterial SSU rRNA". It matches the Rfam family "Bacterial small subunit ribosomal RNA", at positions 30 to 410 of the family's 1533-position model. The record is from RNAcentral.